AUCUGUGGCCAUACCACCCUGAAUGUGCCCGAGCUCAUCUCAUCUCAGAAGCUGAGCAGGGUCAGGCCUGGUUAGCACUUGGAUGGGAGAGACUAGGUACAUAAAUA
Panthera pardus (leopard) is the source of this 107-nucleotide ribosomal RNA. NCBI's taxonomy places the organism in Eukaryota, Metazoa, Chordata, Mammalia, Carnivora, Felidae. The record is from Ensembl.